This 120-nucleotide ribosomal RNA is filed under the name Strychnos pungens. RNAcentral's name for it is "partial 5.8S ribosomal RNA". It matches the Rfam family "5.8S ribosomal RNA", at positions 40 to 154 of the family's 154-position model. From Rfam's summary of the family: 5.8S ribosomal RNA (5.8S rRNA) is a component of the large subunit of the eukaryotic ribosome. It is transcribed by RNA polymerase I as part of the 45S precursor that also contains 18S and 28S rRNA. Functionally, it is thought that 5.8S rRNA may be involved in ribosome translocation. Lineage: Eukaryota; Viridiplantae; Streptophyta; Magnoliopsida; Gentianales; Loganiaceae. The record is from RNAcentral.
AGAACGUAGCAAACUGCGAUACUUGGUGUGAAUUGCAGAAUCCCGUGAACCAUCGAGUCUUUGAACGCAAGUUGCGCCCGAAGCCAUUAGGCCGAGGGCACGUCUGCCUGGGCGUCACGC